Molecule: ribosomal RNA, 528 nt
Filed under: Trigonopterus procurtus
Lineage: Eukaryota; Metazoa; Arthropoda; Insecta; Coleoptera; Curculionidae
Description: SSU rRNA
Rfam family: Eukaryotic small subunit ribosomal RNA
Source: RNAcentral
ACAAGCCAAAUUAAGGUGAAACCGCAAAAGGCUCAUUAAAUCAGUUAUGGUUCCUUAGAUCGUACCCACAAUUACUUGGAUAACUGUGGUAAUUCUAGAGCUAAUACAUGCAAACAGAGCUCCGACCGGAGACGGAAGGAGUGCUUUUAUUAGAUCAAAACCGAUCGGUGGCGGGCCCCGCGCUCGUCAUCGUACAAUUUGGUGACUCUGAAUAACUUUAGGCUGAUCGCACGGUCAUCGCACCGGCGACGCAUCUUUCAAAUGUCUGCCUUAUCAACUGUCGAUGGUAGGUUCUGCGCCUACCAUGGUUGUAACGGGUAACGGGGAAUCAGGGUUCGAUUCCGGAGAGGGAGCCUGAGAAACGGCUACCACAUCCAAGGAAGGCAGCAGGCGCGCAAAUUACCCACUCCCGGCACGGGGAGGUAGUGACGAAAAAUAACGAUACGGGACUCAUCCGAGGCCCCGUAAUCGGAAUGAGUACACUCUAAACCCUUUAACGAGGAUCAAUUGGAGGGCAAGUCUGGUGCC